GGCGGCCGCGGGAAUUCGAUUAGAGUUUGAUCAUGGCUCAGAUUGAACGCUGGCGGCAGGCCUAACACAUGCAAGUCGAGCGGUAGAGAGAAGCUUGCUUCUCUUGAGAGCGGCGGACGGGUGAGUAAUGCCUAGGAAUCUGCCUGGUAGUGGGGGAUAACGUUCGGAAACGGACGCUAAUACCGCAUACGUCCUACGGGAGAAAGCAGGGGACCUUCGGGCCUUGCGCUAUCAGAUGAGCCUAGGUCGGAUUAGCUAGUUGGUGGGGUAAUGGCUCACCAAGGCGACGAUCCGUAACUGGUCUGAGAGGAUGAUCAGUCACACUGGAACUGAGACACGGUCCAGACUCCUACGGGAGGCAGCAGUGGGGAAUAUUGGACAAUGGGCGAAAGCCUGAUCCAGCCAUGCCGCGUGUGUGAAGAAGGUCUUCGGAUUGUAAAGCACUUUAAGUUGGGA
RNAcentral lists this ribosomal RNA (456 nucleotides) under uncultured Gammaproteobacteria bacterium. RNAcentral's name for it is "partial 16S ribosomal RNA". It matches the Rfam family "Bacterial small subunit ribosomal RNA", at positions 1 to 445 of the family's 1533-position model. The record is from RNAcentral. Lineage: Bacteria; Pseudomonadati; Pseudomonadota; Gammaproteobacteria.